GCCAGACUCCUACGGGAGGCAGCAGUGGGGGAUAUUGCACAAUGGGGGAAACUCUGAUGCAGCGACGCCGCGUGAGGGAAGACGGUCUUCGGAUUGUAAACCUCCGUCUUUGGGGAAGAAAAUGACGGUACCCAAAGAGGAAGCUCCGGCUAACUACGUGCCAGCAGCCGCGGUAAUACGUAGGGAGCGAGCGUUGUCCGGAAUUACUGGGUGUAAAGGGAGCGUAGGCGGGCGAGAAAGUUGAAUGUUAAAUCUACCGGCUUAACUGGUAGCUGCGUUCAAAACUUCUUGUCUUGAGUGAAGUAGAGGCAGGCGGAAUUCCUAGUGUAGCGGUGAAAUGCGUAGAUAUUAGGAGGAACACCAGUGGCGAAGGCGGCCACCUGGACCGGUAUUGACGCUGAGGCGCGAAAGCGUGGGGAGCAAACAGGAUUAGAUACCCGGGUA
RNAcentral lists this ribosomal RNA (444 nucleotides) under uncultured bacterium. RNAcentral describes it as "bacterial SSU rRNA". It matches the Rfam family "Bacterial small subunit ribosomal RNA", at positions 330 to 792 of the family's 1533-position model. The record is from RNAcentral.